RNAcentral lists this ribosomal RNA (327 nucleotides) under Vibidia duodecimguttata (twelve-spotted ladybird beetle). RNAcentral's name for it is "partial 16S ribosomal RNA". Lineage: Eukaryota; Metazoa; Arthropoda; Insecta; Coleoptera; Coccinellidae. The record is from RNAcentral.
UAUAAUUUAAAGUAGGGCCUGCCCACUGAGUAUUUGAAGGGCCGCAGUAUUUUGACUGUGCAAAGGUAGCAUAAUCAUUAGUUUUUUAAUUGAAAGCUUGUAUGAAUGGUUUGAUGAGAAAAAAGCUUUCUAUAUCUUAAUUUUUAAGAAUUUUAUUUUUAAGUUAAAAAGCUUAAAUUUUUAUAAUAGACGAGAAGACCCUAUAGAGUUUUAUUUUUGUUAAAAUUUAAAUUUUUAGAAUUUAAUAAUUUUAAUUUUUAAUAAUAAUUUGAUUGGGGUGAUUAAAAAAUUAAAUAAACUUUUUUUAUAUUAAAACAUAGAUUUAUG